This 68-nucleotide transfer RNA is filed under the name Loxodonta africana (African savanna elephant). It matches the Rfam family "tRNA". From Rfam's summary of the family: Transfer RNA (tRNA) molecules are approximately 80 nucleotides in length. Their secondary structure includes four short double-helical elements and three loops (D, anti-codon, and T loops). Further hydrogen bonds mediate the characteristic L-shaped molecular structure. tRNAs have two regions of fundamental functional importance: the anti-codon, which is responsible for specific mRNA codon recognition, and the 3' end, to which the tRNAs corresponding amino acid is attached (by aminoacyl-tRNA synthetases). tRNAs cope with the degeneracy of the genetic code in two manners: having more than one tRNA (with a specific anti-codon) for a particular amino acid; and 'wobble' base-pairing, i.e. permitting non-standard base-pairing at the 3rd anti-codon position. The record is from Rfam by way of RNAcentral. Lineage: Eukaryota; Metazoa; Chordata; Mammalia; Proboscidea; Elephantidae.
GCAUUGGUAGUUCAGUGGUAGAAUUCUCACCUUCCAUGUGGGAGACCCAGUUCAUUUCUGGCCAGUCA